RNAcentral lists this ribosomal RNA (917 nucleotides) under Streptomyces sp. LK1211.2. Its description in RNAcentral is "bacterial SSU rRNA". It matches the Rfam family "Bacterial small subunit ribosomal RNA", at positions 26 to 955 of the family's 1533-position model. The record is from RNAcentral. Lineage: Bacteria; Bacillati; Actinomycetota; Actinomycetes; Kitasatosporales; Streptomycetaceae.
GCACCNACGCUUGNGNCAUNNCUCUAAANACAUGCAAGUCGAACGAUGAAGCCCUUCGGGGUGGAUUAGUGGCGAACGGGUGAGUAACACGUGGGCAAUCUGCCCUUCACUCUGGGACAAGCCCUGGAAACGGGGUCUAAUACCGGAUAANACUCCUGCCUGCAUGGGCGGGGGUUGAAAGCUCCGGCGGUGAAGGAUGAGCCCGCGGCCUAUCAGCUUGUUGGUGGGGUAAUGGCCCACCAAGGCGACGACGGGUAGCCGGCCUGAGAGGGCGACCGGCCACACUGGGACUGAGACACGGCCCAGACUCCUACGGGAGGCAGCAGUGGGGAAUAUUGCACAAUGGGCGAAAGCCUGAUGCAGCGACGCCGCGUGAGGGAUGACGGCCUUCGGGUUGUAAACCUCUUUCAGCAGGGAAGAAGCGAAAGUGACGGUACCUGCAGAAGAAGCGCCGGCUAACUACGUGCCAGCAGCCGCGGUAAUACGUAGGGCGCAAGCGUUGUCCGGAAUUAUUGGGCGUAAAGAGCUCGUAGGCGGCUUGUCACGUCGGAUGUGAAAGCCCGAGGCUUAACCUCGGGUCUGCAUUCGAUACGGGCUAGCUAGAGUGUGGUAGGGGAGAUCGGAAUUCCUGGUGUAGCGGUGAAAUGCGCAGAUAUCAGGAGGAACACCGGUGGCGAAGGCGGAUCUCUGGGCCAUUACUGACGCUGAGGAGCGAAAGCGUGGGGAGCGAACAGGAUUAGAUACCCUGGUAGUCCACGCCGUAAACGUUGGGNAACUAGGUGUUGGCGACAUUCCACGUCGUCGGUGCCGCAGCUAACGCAUUAAGUUCCCCGCCUGGGGANUACNGGCCNNAGGGUNAAACUCAAAGGAAUUGACGGGGGCCCGCACAACCGGGGGANCAUUNGGCUUANUUCCAC